UCUGAUCUUAGUUUAAGAUUGAAAUUGCAUUGGGUAGGUCUUAAGUGAUAGGAUUAAACAGUUGGUUUAAAUCCUGAAUUAAUACUACUUAUAGUGGAUUUCCUCCCUGGCUUGGUAGCCCCCAGACGUAGGUGUGUUUGUCACCGAACUGGAUAAACAAUUGUCUGUGUUAUUUACUGUCCUUUACAUUUACGUUCUGCAUCAUUCUUGUCUGCGCAGAAUUGGAUGUCAUAACAUCCAGUGUGACAUCGAAAGUCUGUUAACUAGAAUUUCAG
RNAcentral lists this long non-coding RNA (275 nucleotides) under Lathyrus oleraceus (garden pea). Its description in RNAcentral is "Pisum sativum (pea) long non-coding RNA (PSAT_LNC023453)". Lineage: Eukaryota; Viridiplantae; Streptophyta; Magnoliopsida; Fabales; Fabaceae. The record is from RNAcentral.